GGCCUGGAGAAUUCCAUGGACUGCAUAAGUCCAUGGGGUUGCAAAGAGUUGGACACAACUGGGCGACUUUCACUUCACUUCACUUGAAUCCCAAUCAGGAUUGCAACAGUAGAGGAUAGUGGACGGACUGCAAGGGCCAGGAUACAAGGAACCGAAGCACGGACAAGGAAAAGUGAUACCAGGACACAGUGGGAAGUAACAGCGUUUGACUAAAGUACAGAAUACAUGCUGCAGAAAAGGUGAGAAGUGACCCUGAAGGUUCCUGGAAGCUGACACUGGAACCCUAUACACGUCUGGGGAUUCCCAAGCUGCCAGUGUAAUUGCCAUCAGUAAAUAUUUAAGGGACAAAUGAAAAGAGAGGGAAGAGGACAGGGCAGCAGGAAAGAGACAAGGAAGCAAGAAAGAAAGGGAAGAGAGAGCAAAGUGAUAAUGACCACUGGCGUGAACGUUGGCAAAUCACAAACAGUAGGCAAAUUUCUUAAAGGAUCCAGGUUGUCUCAAUGGAAAGAGGAACAGGUUACUGGAGUGUUUGCAAACAGAUGGAGAAGUCUGAAGUCUGGUGAGUGGUUAGAGAUGAAAACAGGGUCAUUGGUCUCAAGAGUAUCUGUGGUCCCUGGUGGGAAGGUGAAGGAGUUACAUGUUGGUCCAGAGAACUCCAGUUUGAAACCAAGCCUCGGGGCUUCCCUGGUGGCUCAUUGGUAAAGAAUCUGCCUGCUAAUGCAGGAGACACGGGUUCGGUCCCUGGUUCAGGAAGACCCCACAUGCUGCAGAGCAACUAAGCCCAUGCGCCACAACUAUUGAACCUGUGCUCAGAGCCCUGGAGCUGCAACUAUUGAGCCCACGUGACCGCAGCUACUGAAGCCUGCGAGCCCUAGAGCCCAUGCUCUGCAACGAGAGAAGCCCUCGCAAUGAGAACCCUGCCCACCACAACUAGUGAGUAGCCGCUGCUCUCCACAACUAGAGAAAAGCCCCAGAAGCAAUGAAGAGCCAGUACCAUCAUGAGUAAAUAAAUAAGAAAUCAAGCCUGAUUGCUAUUAUAUGACACAGAAUUAUUGUCACCUCUGCAUUAAGCAGCCAGGCCUGGUUUGCAUUGCUCCUACUUACCAGGUGAAGAGAAAAAUCAAGAAAUUGCCCUGGAUUUGCUAAAAAAUGGAUUUUUACCCCUAUGAUUCUUAGGGGUAAAAAAAAAAGCACGUGGACAUCUCAUUGGAGGUUGCUUUAAAAAUCCAAAUCACAGGACUUGGGACUUCCAUGGUGGCCCAGUGGUUAAGACUCUACAUUUCCACUCCAGGAGAAUCUGGUUCAAUCCCUGUUUGGGGAACUAAGAACCCACCAGCCUCGAGAAGCAGCAAAAAAAAAAAAAAAUCCUGCCUGAUACUGGGUAUAUGAAAGUCGGCUGGCAGGAAACAGAGGGCCACCCAGGAAGCCCGCUUCCUCACAGGAGCUCCAGAGCCUGCAGAUGCCCUUCAGGUGGAUGUGUGGGACUCACAGAAUCUAGACCUCGAGGAUCAGAAGAGCCCGGUGCCCUGCGUUCUCCUGCUCAACACGAUACUGAGCCUGUGCUCUCGAGCCUGCCAUCUGCGACUACUGAGCCCAUGCACCCUAGAGCCCAUGCUCCACAACAAGAGAAGCCGCCGCAAUGAGAAGCCUGUGCACCGCAACAGAGAGUAGCCCACAUGCAGCACUGAAGACCCGGCGCAGCCGAAAAUAAAUAAAUACACAUAAAAUCUAAAAAAGUGUUUCCUAGCUCUGCCCACGGAAAAGGCCUAGAAACAAUGGGCACCCCUAGAGCACCCCUAUUGUGGUCUAC
Long non-coding RNA from Bos taurus (domestic cattle), 1810 nucleotides. Lineage: Eukaryota; Metazoa; Chordata; Mammalia; Artiodactyla; Bovidae. The record is from Ensembl.